CAAGAGCUUGGUCCUGACUCUGCUAUCAACUUUAGCUAAACUUACACAUGCAAGUAUCCGCGCCCCUGUGAGAAUGCCCUAUAGUCCUCCUCCCGAGAACAAGGAGCUGGCAUCAGGCACAUUAUUCAGCCCAAGACGCCUUGCUUAGCCACACCCCCAAGGGAACUCAGCAGUGAUAAACAUUAAGCCAUAAGUGCAAACUUGACUUAGUUAAAGCUAAGAGGGCCGGUAAAACUCGUGCCAGCCACCGCGGUUAUACGAGAGGCCCGAGUUGAUAGGUACCGGCGUAAAGGGUGGUUAAGUCAAAAUAAAACUAAAGCCAAACGUCUCCAAGGCUGUUAUACGCAUACGGAGAUAAGAAGAACAACCACGAAAGUGGCUUUAUUUAUCCUGAACCCACGAAAGCUAAGAUACAAACUGGGAUUAGAUACCCCACUAUGCCUAGCCUUAAACACAGGUAGAGUCUUACAAUUUCUACCCGCCCGGGUACUACGAGCAUCAGCUUAAAACCCAAAGGACUUGGCGGUGCUUUAGAUCCAC
Molecule: ribosomal RNA, 540 nt
Filed under: Spinachia spinachia (sea stickleback)
Lineage: Eukaryota; Metazoa; Chordata; Actinopteri; Perciformes; Gasterosteidae
Description: partial small subunit ribosomal RNA
Rfam family: Bacterial small subunit ribosomal RNA
Source: RNAcentral